This 232-nucleotide ribosomal RNA is filed under the name uncultured bacterium. RNAcentral describes it as "partial 16S ribosomal RNA". It matches the Rfam family "Bacterial small subunit ribosomal RNA", at positions 99 to 334 of the family's 1533-position model. The record is from RNAcentral.
CGGACGGGUGAGUAAUGCUUGGGAAUCUAGCUUAUGGAGGGGGACAACUACGGGAAACUGUAGCUAAUACCGCGUAAUAUCGAAAGAUUAAAGUGUGGGACCUUCGGGCCACAUGCCAUAGGAUGAGCCCAAGUGGGAUUAGGUAGUUGGUGAGGUAAAGGCUCACCAAGCCGACGAUCUCUAGCUGGUCUGAGAGGAUGACCAGCCACACUGGGACUGAGACACGGCCCAG